Molecule: ribosomal RNA, 549 nt
Filed under: uncultured eukaryote
Lineage: Eukaryota
Description: bacterial SSU rRNA
Rfam family: Eukaryotic small subunit ribosomal RNA
Source: RNAcentral
UUUUCGGGGUGGUCAGUUGGUUAUUAUAUCUCCACUAAUAAGCAGAGAGGGGUUAAACCUUUGAAGUGAGUUAUGUGGGUCAAGGUAUAAUGAUUAAUUGGAGUUCUAGUUCAUUUACUUUGAGAAAAUUAGAGUGUUUAAAGCAGCCUCUUGGGGCACUGAAUACAUUAGCAUGGGAUAAUAAAAUAGGAUCUUCACAAUAUAUUUUAUUGGUUUAAAUUGCGUAUGAAGAUAAUGAUUAAUAGGGACAGUUGGGGGUAUUCAUAUUGGGUGGUUAGCGGUGAAAUGCUCGGAUCCAUUCAAGAUGAACUAAAGCGAAAGCAUUUACCAAGGAUGUUUUCAUUAAUCAAGAACGAAAGUUAAGGGAUCGAAGACGAUUAGAUACCGUCGUAGUCUUAACUAUAAACUAUGCCGACCAGGGAUAUGAGUUGUUAGGAAUAUAUGAAAAUAUAUUCAAUUUCUUCUUAUGGACCUUGUGAGAAAUCAUAAGUUUUUGGGUUCUGGGGGGAGUAUGGUCGCAAGGCUGAAACUUAUAGGAAUUGACGGAGG